UACGGAGGAUGCAAGCGUUAUCCGGAUUUAUUGGGUUUAAAGGGUGCGCAGGUGGCUUUGUAAGUCACAUGUGAAAGCCCUCGGCUCAACUUCGGAUUGCCUUAGAAACUGGUGAGCUAGAGUGCAGGAGAGGGCAAUGGAAUUCCAUGUGUAGCGGUAAAAUGCGUAGAUAUAUGGAGGAACACCAGUGGCGAAGGCGGUUGCCUGGCCUGUAACUGACGCUGAGGCACGAAAGCGUGGGGAGCGAACA
RNAcentral lists this ribosomal RNA (250 nucleotides) under uncultured bacterium. Its description in RNAcentral is "partial 16S ribosomal RNA". It matches the Rfam family "Bacterial small subunit ribosomal RNA", at positions 524 to 774 of the family's 1533-position model. The record is from RNAcentral.